UGGAGGAUUAUUUUUUUGAAUGUGGUUUUAUGGCUGUAUUUGGGUUUCGAAUUUUUGAUUGUGUCUGUCUCUGAAGUUGUUUGCCUAAACAAUAUAUGUUUGCUUUGGUUGCUAGGCAAUUUUAGGCUUUGGGUACUGGAUGUAUGUGGAUUUCGUGCUUGGAAAUGGAUUGAUGAAAAACUGGGUGCUGGGAUUUGUUUUGAAACUGAGUGGCUGUCGAACCAGAAGCUGAAGCUUCUGUGUUUCUAAGCUUUUGUUCUUGCUUUGCGAUUCUGCUGCUGCUAGGUUUUGUAGUGUCAAUUGUGUUCGCCGUUUCCCAAAAAACUACACAAACUAA
RNAcentral lists this long non-coding RNA (337 nucleotides) under Durio zibethinus. Its description in RNAcentral is "long non-coding RNA (DZIB_LNC002457)". Lineage: Eukaryota; Viridiplantae; Streptophyta; Magnoliopsida; Malvales; Malvaceae. The record is from RNAcentral.